AACGAACGCUGGCGGCAGGCCUAACACAUGCAAGUCGAACGAACCCUUCGGGGUGAGUGGCGCACGGGUGCGUAACACGUGGGAAUAUGCCCUUAGGUAAGGAACAACGUCUGGAAACGGGCGCUAAUACCUUAUAAUGACUCCGGUCCAAAGAUUUAUCGCCUAAGGAUUAGCCCGCGCUAGAUUAGAUAGUUGGUGAGGUAAUGGCUCACCAAGUCUACGAUCUAUAGGGGGUCUGAGAGGAUGAUCCCCCACACUGGGACUGAGACACGGCCCAGACUCCUACGGGAGGCAGCAGUGAGGAAUAUUGGACAAUGGGGGAAACCCUGAUCCAGCCAUGCCGCGUGAGUGAAGAAGGCCUUCGGGUUGUAAAGCUCUUUCAGAUGCGAAGAUAAUGACGGUAACAUCAGAAGAAGCCCCGGCUAAAUUCGUGCCAGCCGCCGCCGUAAAAC
Molecule: ribosomal RNA, 452 nt
Filed under: uncultured bacterium
Lineage: Bacteria
Description: bacterial SSU rRNA
Rfam family: Bacterial small subunit ribosomal RNA
Source: RNAcentral